Molecule: long non-coding RNA, 1484 nt
Filed under: Astyanax mexicanus (Mexican tetra)
Lineage: Eukaryota; Metazoa; Chordata; Actinopteri; Characiformes; Acestrorhamphidae
Description: lncRNA (ENSAMXG00005019566.1)
Source: RNAcentral
GGAGCACAAGCAGAGGAGGUAUGGGGGGGAUACAAUGAGAGCGAGAGAGAGAGAGAGCGCAAGAGCAAGGAGAGAGAGAGAGAGAGAGAGAGGGAUGGAUGGAGGAAGGGAGGGAGGGAGGGGAUUGGAGUGAGUGAGUGUGUGAGAGUGUAUGCAGCUUGCGGUGCCCCUGCUGUGGAAUUACAGCAGGAGAACGUUGUUGGGGACCUGGAGGAGAGCAGUUAGAGGAGGAAGAAGAGGAGGAGGAGGAACCGUGGAGAACCAGUUGACCAACUGGACUGGACUGGACCGGACUGGGCCAGGGCUUGGGAGGACCACCGGUCAUCUGGGACUGGGAGAAAGGGAUAGAGAAAAAGAGAGAGAGAGAGAGAGAGAGGGGCAGUGUGUGUGUGUGUCUUUUUCUCAGAUCAGCUCGGCCUGUGGCUCCCUAUUCCAGGGGUCGUCUGUCUCCUCAUGGUUUGAGUGGCCAAAAGUGGACCUCUGAGGCGGAGUGGACUUUAUCUGACCUACGGCCUUCAACGUCAGCUUGCCCUUAAGAAUCGGGAUCUGUGGUCCGUCCUGCAUCGUAGACGUGAUGCUCGAGACGGAGGUCUAGCUCUAGCUGUCUGCUCUUCGGAGAACAGAGCUCUCCUGCAGGAAGUUUUGAGUAGAUGUCACCACUAUUAGGAAACUGACCUUUCCGUUUCGCAGGAUUGGGCUCCAUCAUUGUUUACCGGGCCUGGAUGCUCGUUUCAGACCAGUUUGACCUGUCUGAAGUGUCUGGCCGGGAGACGGCAACUUCCAAAACAUUCGCCUGACCUUUAAUCAAGCGGAGGCUUCGUCAUGUGAUCGUAGCUGAAGCCAGGUUCCUCUCAGAGUUCCCUUGCCCGCUCGCGGAGUGGACAGUCGUGCGGCGAGAUCGGGGCCGACAGGAGAGGCGAAAACAGCGAAAAAACAGCUAGUGCUGACCGGGCCCGGGAGUGUGUGAAGUGUUUGGGUGUGUGUCUGCCACCAUGGGCGAGGGAGGAGGCUGGAGACUAACAGGAAGAGGCAGCUAAAUGUUAGCACUAACUUUGGAGGCCAGGUGUUACAUAGAGGUGUGAGGAAGUGAGGGAGCGAGCGAGUGGCAGGCAGCGAGUGUGUGGGUGGGCGAGAGUGUGUCCGAGUGUGAACAAGCUGAUGGACAUUGCGGCGUGUAUGUGUAUGUGUGUGUGUGUGUUUGGCUGAUCUGAUUGGCGUUCGCCGGUGUGGUGUGAUGUUGGAGGCCAGGCUGAGGGAACAUCUGGAGGAACAAUAGGUUCCACUUCCAUCUUCAGUUCAUUCUAUAGUCUUGCGAGGCAUCAUCGCUCUUCGGUGAGGCUGCUGGGGAGUGAGGUAGGCCUGCAGUAGUGUUAACGAGGCUAGUGAUUUGGCUAGUGCUCCUCAGGCUUCGGUUAAGGACUCCCAACUUGCCGUAUUGGAUUAUUACACCACCGUUUCUGAGGUUGAGAAGCUGUAGACCCCUG